Long non-coding RNA from Corythoichthys intestinalis (scribbled pipefish), 501 nucleotides. RefSeq lists it as uncharacterized. The transcript has 3 exons. The record is from RefSeq and is a predicted model, not a curated record. NCBI's taxonomy places the organism in Eukaryota, Metazoa, Chordata, Actinopteri, Syngnathiformes, Syngnathidae.
GUCAGCGCAUUGGGACGGACAAGUUGUUACUGUAGCCUUUGGCUUCUGUUGAGUAUCUAUAUUUGCAUUGCAUUGAAGGGUUGUGUUUGCCAGCUUUGUGAGCCAUGGAUAAAAGGGUGCUGGUGCUCCUCUUGUGUAUGCAGGCCUUCCUACUCCUCACUGCUGUGAAUUCGUCUGAUGCUGCCACUGGGUCGGUGGACAAUCAGCAACGUGAUCAGGGAACAGCUGCCCCAGCCGAACCAGAUACAAUAUCCAUUCACCAGCUGUUUCUGAGACCUGGCGCAGGUUCAACGAUAUGGAAUGGGGUCAGAAGAAAGUGAGAAAGGACUUGACGGCAUGCAAGAAAAUGGCACCUGCUUUUCCGCUCUGCUGUCUGAAGCCUUCAAUGAUGGUGCUGUCAUUUAAUGGAGGAGUGGAAGUUUUCAAAUAUGCUCUCCUGUGAGAUGGAAUUACAUGUGUGAUGCACUGCUGAUUAAACAUGUGGAAAAAGUGCUCACAUAA